CCUACGGGGGGCUGCAGUGAGGAAUAUUGGUCAAUGGGCUUACGCCUGAACCAGCCAAGCCGCGUGAGGGAAGACUGCCCUAUGGGUUGUAAACCUCUUUUGCCAGGGAGCAACGCCGGCUACGUGUAGCCGGACUGAGAGUACCUGAAGAAAAAGCAUCGGCGAACUCCGUGCCAGCAGCCGCGGUAAUACGGAGGAUGCGAGCGUUAUCCGGAUUGAUUGGGUUUAAAGGGUGCGUAGGCGGAAUGCCAAGUCAGCGGUAAAAUCGCGGGGCUCAACCUCGCUCCGCCGUUGAAACUGGCGUUCUUGAGUGGGCGAGAAGUAUGCGGAAUGCGUGGUGUAGCGGUGAAAUGCAUAGAUAUCACGCAGAACUCCGAUUGCGAAGGCAGCAUACCGGCGCCCAACUGACGCUGAAGCACGAAAGCGUGGGUAUCGAACAGGAUUAGAUACCCCUGUAGUC
Molecule: ribosomal RNA, 460 nt
Filed under: uncultured bacterium
Lineage: Bacteria
Description: partial 16S ribosomal RNA
Rfam family: Bacterial small subunit ribosomal RNA
Source: RNAcentral